This 2297-nucleotide long non-coding RNA is filed under the name Sorghum bicolor (sorghum). RNAcentral describes it as "long non-coding RNA (SBIC_LNC003688)". Lineage: Eukaryota; Viridiplantae; Streptophyta; Magnoliopsida; Poales; Poaceae. The record is from RNAcentral.
GAAGAGUGACAUGGGAAAGAAAGCUAAAGCUAGUUUAACCUCCAAUUCGGUUGCUAAACCUCCAAACAAAAAAUAGAAAUCUUCAUAAAAGUGACUUCCAAAUUUCUGCAUCCCGUCUUCAAAACAUUUCUCUCGACAUCUUUAAACUCUUUAAAAAGCAGCAACCAACUUCUGAUCCAAUAUAUCCCCGUAACCUGCAUGGAAGAAUUACUUUUAGUGCUAUUGAAAACCACAUCAUUUCUACUUAACCAAAUUGCCCAACAGAGAGCAGCAGCAGCUGCACCAACUCGAUCAAAUUUUGAAUCUAGGCUUAAGUUAAAGGAAAGCGAGCAUACCAAGGAAGACAAAUAAACGGGUUCAUUAGCUAAAUACUAGUAUAAGAAAAGGUUAGAUUUCUUGAGAAAUUAGCACUCCUUUUCCUACCAUUUUUGCUUACCCUCUCUCUAGUUUGCAAUUAUCAUUACUCCAUCUUGAAAUCGACAGCAAUGGAGAAGAGAUUUAGAGAAGAUUUGUUUCGGACCGGGACGGGAUCAUGUCAAAUCGGAGAAGGAAUCAUACUAUUUAAGCAAAAGAAGUAGAUGCAGGAUGGAGUCCGCUCCACGCCACAUCGGAUCCUAUAAAUUCCCCGCCUUUUCUUCUCCACUCCACUCAUCACAAAUCUCUCUCUCUCUCCUCCUCCUCUCUCUCUCUCUCUCUCUCGCUCGCUCUCCAAGCUCCAGCUAGACUGUCCUGCUCUGCUUCGGUGCUUGCUACUGUGCACAGCCAGCCAGCUGCAGGCCUGCAGCAGAGAAGCUCUGCAGUGCAAUGGAGAGGCCUGCGCAGGCGCCCACGCAGCUGCCGCCGGGGUUCCGGUUUCACCCCACCGACGUGGAGCUGGUAGUGCUGUACCUCCGCCGGCAGGCCCUGGCUCGCCCGCUGCCGGCCGCCGUCAUCCCCGUCGUCCACGACGUCGCCAGGCUCGAUCCAUGGGACCUCCCUGGUGCGUGCGCACGCAUGCUCUCCUCUUCAUUUGAGCCGCCGUGCUUGCAGCUGCGGCACAACCGCGAACAUUUUCAGCUUAUUCAUACAGAGUUUUUCCUGAUUAUCUGGUGUAACUAAACUACGCAGGGGCAAGCGAAGGGGAGGGCUACUUCUUCAGCCUGCUGCGGCGAGCGCCGGCGACCGGCCGUGGCAGCCGCAGGAGGAGAGCUGGAAGCGGGUACUGGAAGGCCACGGGGAAGGAGAAGCCGGUGUUCCUGCAGUGCGGCGGCGGCGUUGGCGGCAAGGGGCAGCUGCUCGUGGGCGUCAAGACGGCGCUCGCCUUCCACCGCAGUGAGCCGCCGGCGCCGUCGUCGCGGACCGGCUGGAUCAUGCACGAGUACAGGCUCGCCGUGUCCCGCGGCGUGGCCGAGCAGAGAGAGAAGAAUGCGAGCCAGGUAAGAAUUCCCACCAUAAUUUCAACCUUGAGGCUUCAUUGUUUCAGUCUUUGCUGUGAAAUUUUACAGAGUCGACCUCUGCCUCAAAUACCCCAACUGGGAGUAGCACAUACCACUCCCAAUUUACUGCUGUAACUGUGGUUGCAUUAAACAAGGGGUCACCCUACCAUCAAGUCGAAAUGUUGUGAAAAAUGCUUAAGCUCAUUUAGCUACGCUAACAGCAAAGUACCAACAUAAUAGGACGUGCUAAAAUAGUACUAAAACGUACUUCUCCGUUUUCACAAUACAUGCUGAUGUCUAGCAUGCUACCGUUCGUUUUACUGAAAUUUGGCUAAUACUUUGAUGCCGAAAUAUUGUGAGAGGAAAACAUUGUACUAUUGCUGAAAUUUGCUUGUCCUAAAUACAAUAUAUACGAAAAUGGAGGUGGUAAUCAAAAUGGCUCUCAUUUCAAAAGAAGUGAAAGAUCGAAGUUUUUUUUCUCGAAUACGCAAAAGGUUUGCGCAUCUUUGUAUUAAGUAGAAGCAGGUUUUUUACAAAAGCGCCGAGGCGCUGGCGGCGGAGGUUUUACAGGUGGUACAAGAACAAUACCCUCCCCACAACACGACAUGCAAAGUCAGUUAGUCAGUAGCAUUGGUACACCGAGUCUAAAAACCAGAAAGUUCCCCAUCUUCGAGCAACUUGAGAUUGUGACAGCUUAACAUCGACUACUAAAUGGAAAUGGAAUACUACACAAUGCAAUGAUAUGUUUUCAGAACAUGCAGAUAUGAGAAUCUAGCCUCCGUUUGAAGUAACUUGACCCGCUUUGCAACCUCGACCGCGAUAUAUUUGCCGUAUGCAGCUUACAUUUGACCAGAACUUGGCGUGCCAAUGGCUGCAGGGUUG